RNAcentral lists this ribosomal RNA (465 nucleotides) under Vreelandella stevensii. Its description in RNAcentral is "partial 16S ribosomal RNA". It matches the Rfam family "Bacterial small subunit ribosomal RNA", at positions 338 to 795 of the family's 1533-position model. Lineage: Bacteria; Pseudomonadati; Pseudomonadota; Gammaproteobacteria; Oceanospirillales; Halomonadaceae. The record is from RNAcentral.
CCUACUUUCUGCAUCAGUGGGGAAUAUUGGACAAUGGGGGCAACCCUGAUCCAGCCAUGCCGCGUGUGUGAAGAAGGCCCUCGGGUUGUAAAGCACUUUCAGUGAGGAAGAACGCCUGGUGGUUAAUACCCAUCAGGAAAGACAUCACUCACAGAAGAAGCACCGGCUAACUCCGUGCCAGCAGCCGCGGUAAUACGGAGGGUGCGAGCGUUAAUCGGAAUUACUGGGCGUAAAGCGCGCGUAGGUGGCUUGAUAAGCCGGUUGUGAAAGCCCCGGGCUCAACCUGGGAACGGCAUCCGGAACUGUCAAGCUAGAGUGCAGGAGAGGAAGGUAGAAUUCCCGGUGUAGCGGUGAAAUGCGUAGAGAUCGGGAGGAAUACCAGUGGCGAAGGCGGCCUUCUGGACUGACACUGACACUGAGGUGCGAAAGCGUGGGUAGCAAACAGGAUUAGAUACCCGGGUAGUC